RNA transcript from Olea europaea var. sylvestris, 5797 nucleotides. RefSeq lists it as uncharacterized. The transcript has 9 exons. NCBI's taxonomy places the organism in Eukaryota, Viridiplantae, Streptophyta, Magnoliopsida, Lamiales, Oleaceae. The record is from RefSeq and is a predicted model, not a curated record.
GUCAGAAAAAUCACUCUCUCCAUCACUACACACUUUUUUCUUGUUUCUCCUCAUAUCAUAUGCCGACCGCAGCUCCCAGUAUUCCUUUUCACAUUCUGUCGAUCAAAAUUUUCCAUUUUAAGCAACCCAAGAAAAUAUUAAAGCAAUUCUAGAUUACGCAUUGCUGGGCUCUUGUUAUCUCUUACAUUUUCUUGGAUUUUUUUUCCAGUUUGAUUAAAUAUAGGACUUUCAAUCUGUUUAAUAGAAUUAUUUAAAAUCCCAUUUUCAGAGAAUUUUGUACCUUUACUGUAAAAUCCAUGUUUUUUUUAAUCAUAGUUAGUAUCUUCUGUUGAAAUUUUUGGAAGUGCAGUUUGAAUCUUUUGGGACAAAUUACUAUUUUUAUUUAAUUAGCCAGACAUUAACUUUAUGUGCAAAUUAAUAAUGGUCUUGUACAGUUGUUGUAAAACAAAAGUCUUAUUUAAAUUAGUGAUUUUGCGAGAAAAAAAUAUCUAGGGUGGUGCGGUAGUUGAUGGAGAGCAGUGGAGGAGAUGAUCAAGGCUCUGGAUGGAUGCAAGUCAAAAAGAAACAUAGAAGCAAAUCAAAAUUCCCACAGCAUGGUUUGGUUGGAGGACUCUCUGGAAAACAAAAUUCUACUCAUAUGAGCACCCAGCUUCCAUCGGGCGUAAAACAAGACAAAGACAAGUUUGCUUCGGAUGCUGGUAGAGACUGUACUAUACAUGGUCCCAAUAGUGCUCCAAAUUCCUCUUCUGUUUCAACUGAAGAUGAGGGGGUUGUUCAUUGCCUUGAUAAAUGUGUUGUCAGUCAAGAUAAUGGAAACUCCAAAUCAUUUCAUUUAGCAGCUACAGAAAUCCAAGAUUCUAAUUGUAAAGUAGUUGCCAAUGAAGAACAUACUCAGAAGAAUACUGUCUUUCCAAAAAUUAAGUGGGGUGAUUUAGAUGAUGGAACAUUGAUAAUGCAUUAUGGUAACGCUCGUGAGACUGGAAUUAAAUUAGGUGGGAUUGAUAAUCAUAAUUUGGUCUGUAUGAAAUCUGAGAGUGCUGAUGAAUCUAUUUCAUGUUCCAAAAUUGAUAGCAAGGACAACAAAUUUGUUGGGGCAAUAGUAGAUGAAAAUCAGGCUCUUCCAAAGUCUGAUUCUUUCUCCCCAAUGGCAGUUUCUUUUGCCAAAGACCGUAAUGGGGUGAAUGAGGUAUCUUCAGAAGAUGUGAAAGUGCAAAUUACAAGUGAGAGGAUAGUUAGUCAAAGCACUAUUACUUCUAAUUUCGAUGUAGAUUGUGAACAUGUUAACAGCAAAACUGAUGAUGCUUCCCAUUUGUCCGGUGAAAAUACUCCAUGUGCUGCCAUUGAAGAGAUUGGAAUGAUGGAAACACCUGGUUUGAAAUCUGAAACUGGUUGCUCCAAAGAUUAUGUUGUGCCACCUGAGAAGAGUGAACAUAGGAGUGUGGCAGAGUCUAUCCCGACCACCUCUGUGGAAGAGUCUAGGUAUCAAAAGUGUGAUUCAAUUUCUGAGGAUUUACUGGAAACUCAAAAUUUGAAUUCCAUAGAUUCAGAUGACACGUGUGAAAGUAAAGAAAGAUUCAGGCAACGCCUUUGGUGCUUUCUCUUUGAGAGCCUUAAUAGGGCUGUAGAUGAACUCUAUCUUCUGUGCGAACUUGAAUGUGAUAAUGAGCAGAUGAAAGAGGCCGUCCUUGUUCUUGAAGAAGCUGCAUCAGAUUUUAGAGAACUGAAUUCCAGAGUUGAGGAAUUUGAGAAACUGAAAAGGUCCUCUUCUCAUGUAACUGCUGGGGUCCCAUUGGUCAUGCAGUCUGAUCACCGCAGACCACAUGCCCUCUCAUGGGAGGUUCGUCGAAUGACAUCUUCACCACGCAGGGCAGAGAUACUUUCUUCAUCUCUUGAGGCUUUUAGGAAAAUACAACAAGAGAGAACUAGGGAACAUGCUAACAGUGCUGAGAAACUGGGGUCUGAUUUUCAUAGUCGCCAUCCCAGAUCAGGUGAUAUUUUGGAGAAGUCUGCUAAGAGUAGUAAUUUAGAAGGCGAUAAAUAUGCUAAGAGAAGUAAUUUAGAAGGCGAUCCUAAAGAAUCAACAGCAAAGGAAAGGAAACGAACUGGAUCCACAAAUAACUCUCGGAGAUCAAUCAAAGAAAAGAAAAAUAUUGAUUCAGGGAAAUCUAAUUCUGUUGCAUCCAGGUUACCGAUCAAUAGGGAACUAAAUGCAGAUUCAGAAGCUGAUAGACCUCUUUCUAAGAAAGAAAAAAUGUUGGCAGAACAUACUGUGGGGAAAAAUUCCAAAGCAAUUGAUUCCCUGAAAAGACAGAUUCCUUGUCUUGAGAAAGAGGGGGAAAAGAGAAAUGGGAACUCAUGGAAAUCUAUGGAUGCCUGGAAAGAGAAGAGGAAUUGGGAGGACAUACUUGGCACUCCACAUCGUGUAUCUUCCCGUUUUUCUUAUUCACCAGGCAUGGGUAGGAAAAGUGCUGAUCGUGCACGCCUUUUGCAUGAUAAACUUAUGUCUCCUGAGAAGAAAAAAAAAUCAGCUCUUGACCUUAAAAAGGAAGCAGAAGAGAAACAUGCACGAGCGACUAGAAUCAGAACUCAACUUGAGAAUGAGAGAAUGCAAAAACUUCAAAGAACUUCAGAUAAACUGAACCGUGUGAAUGAGUGGCAGACUGUUCGCAGCAAUAAGUUGCGGGAGUCAAUGUUUGCUCGCCACCAGCGUAGUGAAUCCAGGCAUGAAGCAUAUUUAGCUCAGGUUGUGAGAAGAGCUGGUGAUGAAAGCAGUAAAGUUAAUGAGGUACGAUUCAUCACAUCGCUAAAUGAAGAGAAUAAAAAGCUUAUAUUGAGGCAGAAACUUCAGGAUUCAGAAUUGAGAAGGGCUGAGAAACUUCAAGUGAUGAAAAUUAAACAGAGAGAGGACAUGGCUAGGGAAGAAGCUGUUCUGGAACGCAAAAGGCUCAUUGAAGCAGAAAAGUUGCAGCGUCUUGCAGAGACACAGCGAAGGAAGGAAGAGGCUCAAGUAAGAAGGGAAGAAGAGCGCAAAGCAUCAAGUGCAGCACGAGAAGCCAGGGCUAUGGAACAGAUGCGAAGAAAGGAGGUCCGAGCCAAAGCUCAACAGGAGGAGGCUGAACUCCUGGCUCAGAGAUUAGCCGAAAGACUCAGUGAAAGUGAACAGCGACGCAAGUUUUAUCUUGAACAAAUACGCGAAAGAGCAUCAAUGGAUUUUAGGGAUCAAUCUUCACCUUUAUUGCGGCGCUCUGUGAAUAAGGAUGGUCAAUCUCAAGGCAGAUCUACUCCAAAUGGUAAUGGAGAAGAUUAUCAGGUAAACAACAGUGGUUGUACAGGAGGCUCAAGUAUUGCGACUGGCAAUGAGUCAAUGCAUAACUCGUUGAAGCGAAAAAUUAAAAAAAUUCGACAAAGACUAAUGUCGUUAAAACAUGAAUUUUCUGAGCCUUCUGUUGGUGUUGAAAAUUCUGGGAUAGGCUAUAGGACUGCUGUGGGAACUGCAAGGGGAAAAAUUGCCAGAUGGCUUCAGGAACUGCAAAAACUUCGCCAAGCAAGAAAAGAUGGUGCUUCUACUUUUGGACUAAUAACUGCUGAAAUAAUCAAGUUCUUGGAGGGAAGGGAUACUGAGCUGCAGGCAUCUCGCCAAGCUGGUUUAAUAGAUUUCAUUGCUUCUGCUCUACCUGCUUCUCACACAUCAAAACCUGAAGCCUGUCAGGUUACAACAUACCUUCUAAGACUUCUGAGGGUAGUGCUUGUAGUGCCAGCAAACCGGAGUUAUUUUCUUGCACAAAAUCUCUUGCCCCCAAUCAUCCCCAUGUUGGCUGCCGCACUUGAGAAUUAUAUUAAAAUGGCAGCAUCAUCAAAUAUCCGUGGUUCUACCAACUUUAUCUCAAGUAAAACAUCGGUUGGAAAUUUGGAGACUAUUUCUGAAAUUUUAGAUGGUUUUCUAUGGUCCGUGGCUGCAAUUAUCGGUCAUGUCAGCUGUGAUGUGCGCCAACAUCAGAUGCAGGAUGGUCUAUUAGAGCUUGUUAUUGAGUACCAAAUUAUCCACCGGUUAAGGGAUUUUUUUGCACUUUAUGAUAGGCCUCAGGUGGAAGGUUCACCUUUUCCUUCAUCUAUUCUCUUAAGUAUAAAUUUGUUGACUGUUCUGACUUCCAAAUUUGGAGAAGUGUCCUCAAUAGAUUGGGAAUCUUUUCCAAAUGCAACGAUGCCAGGAAAAACACCUGGGGAAGCAAAACAUUUUGAGGCUGCAACCUCAAGAUCUUCCACUUCAUGCGAUUCUAUUGGAUAUAAUAGUUCACCUUUUCUGCCUACUGGUAGCACACCUGUAAAUUUGCCAGAUGUACCAGAGGAUAGGCCACUAGACAAUAUUCCAGUACUCAUUGAUAAUAAAUCACAUAAAAUUGAGUGUAUUAGCUAUAAGAUCAAAACUGUAGAGGUCGUGGAUGAGUCUCCAAUAAUUCCGACUGAUAAUAAACCUGAGGGUUCUCUCCCUCAGAAAGUUGGAAAGAAUUCUUCAAGCUGUGCUGCAGAACAAAAGAAUGCAAAUGACUUUGGCUUAAAGCGGCCUGUAGCCUUUCUUCUCUCAGCGAUGUCUGAGACUGGCUUAGUCUGUCUUCCUUCCAUGUUAACUGCUGUGCUAUUGCAGGCUAAUAACCGGUUAUCUGCAGAACAGUUUAUCAUCUUGAACAAAGAGAAAACCAGUGCAUGUCCAUUUCAUCUUGGCAUCAGCACGUGGAUGCAGAGUUCGUAUGUCCUUCCAUCUAAUUUUGAGGAAGUGGCGACUGGAGUGCUGAAGGUGUUGAACAAUCUGGCAUUAAUUGAUAUUACUUUCAUACAGAAAACACUAGCUCGGCCUGACCUUAAAAUGGAGUUCUUUCACUUGAUGAGUUUUCUUCUUUCUUAUUGCACAAGCAAGUGGGAAAUAGCUACUGAUAAGGAAAAAAGGCGGAACAUUUUACACGUGAAAGGAAAAGGUGAUGUUGGGUCCAUGUCAGUUGAUUACUGUUACUCCGAUAUUUGUGAAUUAGUUUUGUAUUAAUCUAGGGAGGUCACAAAUAAGUUUUGAGAUAUUAUAUUUUCGAUGUUAUACGUUUCUCAGAUUGGUCAGCUUUUGCUGGAAUGUUUGGUUCUUCUUGGAUACUUUGCAUUGUUCCAUCCUGAGAAUCAAGCUGUCCUUCGCUGGGGAAAGAGCCCGACCAUCCUUCACAAGGUCUGCGAUUUGCCAUUUGUGUUCUUUAGUGAUCCCGAGUUGAUGCCAAUAUUAGCCGGCACAUUGGUGGCUACCUCAUUUGGAUGUGAACAAAACAAGGAUGUUAUUCAGCAGGAACUCAGUGUGGACAUGCUUCUUUCCUUGCUCAAAUCAUGCAAAAACAGUCAGUGCAAUUCGACCUUAAACAGCACGCCAGCAGAAGAGUCUGCUCUUGAAUUUAAAAAACUACCGGUUGAUGCGUCCCAGAAAUCAUACCGAAACAAUCUAAGAAGCAGUCGAGGAGUUCCCCAGAGAGGGUUUCUGCCUGCCAGUAAUAUGAGAACAAUGAAGGCGCGAAACCUGAAAGACACCAAAGCUGCAAAGCUUUGUGAAGAGGUGUGUUUGGGGACUGGUCAAUCUUCGUCUGAAACUUCUGCCUUAAUGUUGAGAUUUCCCAUAAGCUUCAUCAACAAAGCAGAGCAGUUUUUUGCAGCUGAAACAACCGGGCUAAGCGAAGGUGAUUAUUGAUAUGGAAGCUUGUAUGUUUAGAGGGAAUUCAUGAACAGCACAUUUUACAAUGAAAAGAAAUGGAGAAACUUUGGUAUUAUAAAA